UUUUGUUUUCUUUCUUCUUUU
Molecule: small RNA, 21 nt
Filed under: Arabidopsis thaliana (thale cress)
Lineage: Eukaryota; Viridiplantae; Streptophyta; Magnoliopsida; Brassicales; Brassicaceae
Description: ATSL299280
Source: RNAcentral